This 492-nucleotide unclassified non-coding RNA is filed under the name Hevea brasiliensis (rubber tree). The record is from RNAcentral. Lineage: Eukaryota; Viridiplantae; Streptophyta; Magnoliopsida; Malpighiales; Euphorbiaceae.
AAAGAAAAGAAAAAAAAAAGUGGAUAUUUAUUUGUCACCAAUCUCUUUUAUUGGUGAAAAGCCUUUUUCAUUAAAAGAAGGGAUUAAUAUCAAAAAGAGAAAAGCUGGUAUACCACACCCACCUCUACUCGUUGCAUGGUAAAAUGGCCAUUUUCAGAGUUUUAAUGCAGUGGUUUUCAUGGUUGGUGAAGGGUAGCCUUGGAUUUAUUAGCUUCUUUUUUACGGCUUUUCUGCAUCGCUUUCAAGAUUUUUGUCCAGCAGCGUAUAUAUGGAACUUAGAGGUGUAUAAUAUUUCCUUUCAAAGAUCCUCAUUCUCUGUGAUUUUAUUUGUAUCGAACACAUACCCAACAACCACCAAUCUACGAUUCUCUGCUCUUUGCACCUCCUCGCUGCUUUGCUUGUGACGUUGUUUAACCUUCUUAAUGUAGGAUUAUGAAUUCAAAUCUUAAAUCAUUCUUGUUGUGAGAGUUUUACCUAAAUAUCACUCCUAAU